Molecule: ribosomal RNA, 524 nt
Filed under: uncultured bacterium
Lineage: Bacteria
Description: bacterial SSU rRNA
Rfam family: Bacterial small subunit ribosomal RNA
Source: RNAcentral
AGAGUUGAUUAUGGCUCAGAACGAACGCUGGUAGCGUGGAUUAGGCAUGCAAGUCGAACGGGAUCGCUGGGUUAGCAAUAAUCCGGCGUGAGAGUGGCGGAUGGGGAGGAACACGUGAGCAACCUGCCUUUGAGUCGGGGAAAACCGUUGGAAACGACGGCUAAUACCGGAUGUGGCGCCCGGUGACAUCACCGGAGCGCUAAAGGGGGCCGCAAGGCUCCCGCUCGUAGAGGGGCUCGCGCACCAUCAGCUUGUUGGCGGGUAACGGCCCACCAAGGCCUACGGUUAGCUGGUCUGAGAGGAUGACCAGCCCCACUGGGACUGAGAUACUGCCCAGACUCCUACGGGAGGCUGCAGUCGAGGAUCAUUUGCAAUGGGCGAAAGCCUGACAAUGCGAACCGCUGCGUGGAGGAUGAAGGCCUUCGGGUUGUAAACUUCUUUUAUAAGGGAAUAAAGUGAGGGACGUGUCCCUUUUUGUAUGUACCUUAUGAAUAAGGAUCGGCUAACUCCGUGCCAGCCGCCGC